GGCGCUGCCAUCUUACCCUGGGGCGGAAGUGACAUCAAGGGGGCGUGAUCUGACCAUAGUAUUUAUCCGACGGUGCCUCGCCGCCCUCCGCCUUCUCUUCCCGGUUCUUCCCGGAGUCGGGAAAAGCUGGGUUGAGAGGGCGAAAAAGGAUGUGGGGGAUGGACUGUGAGCUGUGCCGGGGUGUGACUCGUGGGGGCGUGUCUCGGCCCCUGGCAGGGAGUAGAGGCUAUAGCAUCUGCUUGUUUCUGUGUCCACUUCCUACUGGGACAUCAGCCCCAUGAGAAGAGUAUCUUGGUUGUGGGAUAGAUGUUCAUCAUCUAUUCGAUCCUACCUGAAACAGUGUCUGCUACAUAAUGAGUUCCCAACAGACCUUUUAAACUGGAAUGGAUGGAUUCCAGUUGGUGCUGAGACCAAGGAACAAGUCUGUUGGUGAGACUUCAUGGACUUGCCUAGGAGAACUUUGCCGGACGCCAUCUCUAAGCACCGAUGGGCUUGGAUUCAACAUCUCCACAGAUACCAACCCAGAGGAUAUUCAAGUACUUUAUACAAC
This is a non-coding RNA of Mus caroli (Ryukyu mouse), 550 nucleotides long. The record is from RefSeq and is a predicted model, not a curated record. NCBI's taxonomy places the organism in Eukaryota, Metazoa, Chordata, Mammalia, Rodentia, Muridae.